AUUGAACGCUGGCGGCAGGCCUAACACAUGCAAGUCGAGCGAGCGGCGGACGGGUGAGUCAUGUCUGGGAAACUGCCUGAUGGAGGGGGAUAACUACUGGAAACGGUAGCUAAUACCGCAUACCAUCAGAUGUGCCCAGAUGGGAUUAGCUAGUAGCUGGGGUAACGGCUCACCUAGGCGACGAUCACUACCUGGUCUGAGAGGGUGACCAGCCACACUGGAACUGAGACACGGUCCAGACUCCUACGGGAGGCAGCAGUAGGGAAUAUUGCGCAAUGGGCGAAAGCCUGAUGCAGCCACGCCGCGUGUGUGAAGAAGGCCUUCGGGUUGUAAAACACUGUCAGCGAGGAGGCGUUACUCGAAGAGGAAGCACCGGCUAACUCCGUGCCAGCAGCCGCGGUAAUAC
Molecule: ribosomal RNA, 406 nt
Filed under: uncultured bacterium
Lineage: Bacteria
Description: partial 16S ribosomal RNA
Rfam family: Bacterial small subunit ribosomal RNA
Source: RNAcentral